AGGGGCGCUCCCCUGCGGGCCCCGGACGUGGAGACGCUCGAGUCAGGCUGACGCGCGCGCCGGGAACGAACUCUUGCGUGUGACUUGGGAUGACCGGAUGGGAUGAGUGAUGCCAGUGGCAGUGGGAGAGAGGAUGAGGAGAAACGGAAUGAGGAAGUGCGCUCCUGUGUUCGCGCCCGUGCCUCCUCUCACACAGGCUCCACAGUGCUUCACCCAGCCCUGCGCACGCAUCUGUUUUCUACCUCUUAGGACUCACUUCUGCAAUAGGUGUCUUGGGGACACAAAGGAAUCCCCAAACCCAGGUGCCUCCACGUGUAAACUCCAAAUAAAGCUGCUGAAACAUCAACACUCCAUACGGGAAACAAGGGAAGGCCGCCCCCAAAUUUAAUUGUUACAGAAUUUUUAAAAUGUCGAUUACAAACACACCAUCAUUCUGAAAAAAAGAGAAAGAAGAAAGGGGAAGAAAGAAAAAAGAAAAAUUCAGGAAAACAGAGAGAAGAAAGUACUCACCCAAAUCCCAUCGACUAAUCGAUUUCUGGGACAUGACGUGGGAAGCCGUUUAUCCUAUGUUAAUGGCUAGUUACUCUUCAGAUGAACUUAAAAAUGGACUUGUCCAAGAUUGACCUUGUGUUGGUAAUUAUUGAAGCUAUGUAAUACAUUAAAGUAUUCCUCUAAUUUUUUAAUAUAUUUGAAAAAGUCCAUGCUAAAAGGUUUUUUUUAAGGAUUGAUUUGUCAAAUCCCUUUGCAAAUUCUUUUAAGAUUUUGGUCAGAAAUGAACUCUAUUAAUAGAUUGAGUGCUGUUUCCGGUCAUACCCGGAAGCAGGAGUUCAAGCCGCAGCUGGUAGGGAUUGGCGGCUGCUGGCCAUCUGAGUUUUAUUAAAACUGCUCGCCGCGAAGCCAGUCUUCAGCCAGAAUGUCCAGCAGAAACAACAACAAGCUGCCCAGCAACCUGACUGCAGUUACAGAAUCUGAUGAAGCGAGACCCACCACCCUCCAUCUAGGAGUUUCUACAGCAGUAUAAUCACUACACAUCCAAUGUGGAGAUUUUCAAAUUGCAACCAUAUAAACCCGGUAAAGAACUAGCAGAGCUGGUGGUGUUUAUGGCACAGAACGUCCUAAAUAUGUGCAUCUGAAUAAUAGGAGAGAAAGAGAGAAACUUCAGAAGAGCCUUUGCUUUGUUAUAGAUUAGUUACUGCUACCCAGGGUAUCUAAGUAAUUUUCCUCAAGUGGUGAAAGAUCUUCUGUCCUGUAAUCAUACUGUAUUGGAUCCAGAUCUUCGAAUGACAUUUUGCAAAGCUUUGAUCUUGCUGAGAAAUAAGAAUCUCAUCAAUCCAUCAAGCCUGCUAGAACUCUUCUUUGAACUUCUCUGUUGCCAUGAUAAGCUUCUGCAAAAGACUUCAUACACAUAUAUCGUGACUGAUAUCAAGAAUAUAAAUGCAAAACACAAGAAUAAAGUGGAUGUAGUAUUGUAAAAUUUCAUGUAUACCAUGUUGAGAGAUAGCAAUGCAACUGCAGCCAAGAUGUCUUUAGAUGUUAUGAUUGAACUCUACAGAAGGAACAUCUGGAAUGAUACCAAAACUGUCAAUGUUAUCACAACUGCAUGUUUCUCUUAGGUCACCAAGAUAUUAGUUGCUGCUUUGACAUUCUUUCUUGGAAAAGAUGAAGAUGAAAAACAGGCCAGUGACUCCGAAUCUGAGGAUGACGGACCAACAGCAAGAGACCUGCUAGCACAGUAUGCUACAGGGAACAAAGUUCCCAAAACAAGAAAAAGUUGGAAAAGGCAAUGAAAGUGCUCAAGAAACAAAAGAAGAAGAAAAAACCAGAGGUGUUUAACUUUUUAGCCGUUCACUUGAUUCAUGAUCCCCAAGAUUUUGCAGAAAAACUACUAAAGCAGCUUGAGUGCUGUAAGGAGAGGUUGGAAGUGAAGAUGAUGCUCAUGAACCUCAUCUCAGAUUGGUGGGAAUUCAUAAGCUCUUCCUCUUCAAUUUCUAUCACUUUUUGCGAAGGUUUCUGCAGCCCCACCAAAGAGAAGUAACAAAGAACCUUCUGUUUGCUGCACAAGCAUCUCAUCACCUAGUACACCCAGCGAUUAUUCAAUCAUUGCUUAUGACUGUGGCCAACAAUUUUGUUAACGACAAGAACUCUGGAGAAGCCAUGACAAUAGGAAUCAAUGCUGUAAAAGAGACAACAGCUCAGUGUCCUCUGGCCAUGACUGAAAAGCUUCUCCAAGACCUGGCUCAGUAUAAAACACACAAGGAUAAUAAUGUAAUGAUGUCUGCUAGAACUUUGAUUCGGCUCUUCCGAACACUGAAUCCUCAGAUGCUGCAGAAGAAAUUCUGGGGUAAGCCUACAGAAGCCUCCAUAGAAGCAAGAGUACAAGAAUAUGGAGAAUUAGAUGCUAAAGGUUACAUUCCAGGAGCAGAAGUUCUGGAAGUUGAGAAAGAGGAGAGUGCUGAAAAUGAUGAAGAUGGAUGGGAAAGUACCAGUCUCAGUGAGGAGGAGGAUGCCGAUGGCGAAUGGGUUGAUGUGCAACACUCUUCCAAUGAAGAACAGCAAGAAAUUUCCAAGAAGCUGAACACCAUGCCCAUGGAGGAGCAGAAAGCCAAAACUGCAGCCGUCAGCACCAGUCGAGUUUUAAGUUAGGAAGACUUCCAGAAAAUCCGCAUGGCGCAAAUGAGAAAAGAACUUGACGCUGUCCCCGGGAAAUCCCAGAAGAGGAAAUAUAUUGAAAUCGACAGUGAUGAAGAGCCGAGGGGUGAAUUACUUUCUCUUCCGGACAUUGAACGCCUUCAUAAAAAGCCAAAAUCUGACAAAGAGACAAGACUAGCAACUGCAAUGGCUGGAAAGACAGACCGAAAAGAAUUUGUGAGGAAGAAAACCAAAGUGAAUCCAUUUUCCAGUUCAAAAAGUAAAGAGAAGAAAAAACAGAAGAACUUUAUGAUGAUGUGGUAUAGCCAGAAUGUCUGGUCAGAAAAUAAGCGUUCCUUCUGAGAAAAACAGUUGGCGCUGCGAGAUGCCUUUUGAAAAGAGAAAAAGAAUGAAGUAACUUCCCAGAAAGUUUUCCAUUCCAAGAAGAAUGCUAAGUUUGUGUCAUUACUCUGAAAAUUGGUAAAUCAAGCAUGUUUGUUUACAUUAAAAAGUCCAGAAGCACUAUAUUAUGAAAACUGCUGAAAA
RNA transcript from Homo sapiens (human), 3174 nucleotides. It is a transcript of the gene named SDA1 domain containing 1 pseudogene 1, with no coding region annotated. The record is from RefSeq and is marked validated. NCBI's taxonomy places the organism in Eukaryota, Metazoa, Chordata, Mammalia, Primates, Hominidae. The transcript is spliced from 2 exons.